RNAcentral lists this long non-coding RNA (394 nucleotides) under Medicago truncatula (barrel medic). Its description in RNAcentral is "long non-coding RNA (MTRU_LNC005151)". The record is from RNAcentral. Lineage: Eukaryota; Viridiplantae; Streptophyta; Magnoliopsida; Fabales; Fabaceae.
CUCAACCUGAUAGCAUAUGAGAUGUGUCCAGAUUUUGAGAACGAUUACGAAAUUUGUUCUUUUCUAGCUUUCAUGGACUCGCUCAUCGACCAUCCUGAAGACGUGAAGGAAUUGAGAUCAAAUGGGAUUUUGCUCAAUAAACUUGGGAGUGAUGAGGAAGUUGCCCAUCUUUUCAAUAUCAUAAGUACUGACUUGGUACGAAACACAUACAUAUACCAUGACGUUAAAUGGAAAAUAAAUGAUCAUUACUGUAAUAAAUACAAGACUUGGAUAGCGCAGGGUUUUCACACUUACUUCAACAGUCCUUGGGCCAUUAUUGCAUUCAUUGCUGCGGUUGUCGUCCUUGUUCUUACUUUCAUUCAGACAUGGUUUACAAUUCACCCGACUAGCAAAU